This 563-nucleotide long non-coding RNA is filed under the name Polistes fuscatus (common paper wasp). RNAcentral's name for it is "uncharacterized LOC122518213". Lineage: Eukaryota; Metazoa; Arthropoda; Insecta; Hymenoptera; Vespidae. The record is from RNAcentral.
UUUAUAUAUAACAUACGCGUAUCGUGCGCACGCGUGCUCACACGGUUAAAUAUGUACAUGCAAAUUUACGUAAUCGUAUGUAUGUGAUACGUGUGUAUAUAUAGAUAUAUGUAUUGCAUAUAUAUAUGUAUAAGGACGUAUUGAGCCACGCAUGCGCGUGCGCAAACAGCUGCGGUUUCAUUCAUGACGAUAAAUGGGGGGCGGGAAUAAAUCGAUAAGGAAAGCAAAGAUAAUUAUCAUAAUUUUUUAUCUUUUUGUACUUUUUUACUUCGUUUUGUUUCCUGUUCUCCCUUGUUCGAUAAUAAAGAAAUAAUAAUUAGACUUUUUUCAAGAGACUCGUGCACGAAGAGUACGUUGAAAAAGAAAAAUUAAAGAUCGCUGUUUUUACGAUGAAUUCACGAAGUUGAAUUAAAUACGCAAGAUGACGUUCGAUUAUCGAACACCUUGAUUGUAAUCGAUAACGCGUUUCCCCGUUCGAUACAUUCGAUCAUAAUAAAAUCAAUGACAGGGCAAAUCAUUAAAGUCGACGAUUAUUAAAGGAAAAUGUCUACUCGUAGAAAGAA